GCAGGCGCAAAGAGCUUCCUCUCGUUUCCAUGGGAACCUCGACCCCCAGAGUCCCGGACCGUUGGCUCAGUGGAGCAAGAAAGUGUUGCUUCUUCCUGAGAUAUGGGACAGUACAGGACUUCUGGGAGCCACAAACACCCCUUUUCCUGGAGAUGCAACCCAGGGUGACCUAUUACACCAUCCUGGAAGCUUAUGCUUUUAUGCCAGAGCCCUGCUUUUCCUCUUCGUCCUGCUCCCCAAGUUGGCUCCCACUCUAUGGCUGCAGAUAUGUUGUCAUACAUUGGAGAGAAGAGUAGAGUCAUAGCUGAGAACUGUGACUUGUCUGCAGUCUGUCACCUUCCCUGGAAGAGAGUGUUGAGGAUGGUGGGAAUAUUCAGUGAGCUGAUGAUGGGGACACUGGUUUGCCACCUUCUCUGGCUUUCCAGACUCCAGGCCUUACCAUCUACGGGCAGAAGCCCCACGAGAAGAGGGAUUUUUGUCCUGUGGAAAAGUGCACCCAAAAUAUGUUGAAUGAAUGAAUUACUGCAUACCAAGAUCUCAAGCUUUGGACUGCCUGCUACUUCAAACCUAAUCAGCUGGGCAGAUGAAGGGGACAGAGAAGCUGCAGGGCUCCUUCAGAAUCCCAGCACGUCAUGGUUGGAAGGGACCUCAGUGUGCUCCCCCCAUGGCCCUCUCCAUCACAUUGUACAGAUGAAGAAACAGCUCAAGACAGGGAGGGACUUAUACAACAUCACACAGCAAGUCGGUGUUGGAUCCCAGACGUGAAACCCAGGUCUCCUGACUCCCAGCUCCAGGCCAUUUUCUGUUUUCUUUUUUUUUGAGAUAGAGUCUCAUUUCG
Microcebus murinus (gray mouse lemur) is the source of this 838-nucleotide non-coding RNA. The record is from RefSeq and is a predicted model, not a curated record. Lineage: Eukaryota; Metazoa; Chordata; Mammalia; Primates; Cheirogaleidae.